This is a long non-coding RNA of Raphanus sativus (radish), 456 nucleotides long. RefSeq lists it as uncharacterized. The transcript is spliced from 3 exons. Lineage: Eukaryota; Viridiplantae; Streptophyta; Magnoliopsida; Brassicales; Brassicaceae. The record is from RefSeq and is a predicted model, not a curated record.
CUGACUCUAAUAAUAUAACCCGACAAAAAAUAACCUGACAUCUCCAUCUACCGUUGUCUUCUUCUCCCUUUAUGAAAUUAGGGUUCAUAGUGAGAUUUAGGGGAAAAUUGAAAUCGUGACAAUGGAGAAGAAUAAGAGUCAAUCGGAACUUGCGAAAUCUGAAGGUUUAUUCUCAAGGCGAACCAGGAGAAUUAAUUUCGGAGAUUCUAUCGCUCAUGUGAAGUUGUGAUGCUGAGAAAGGGGGAAGAUCAUCUCUUAAAGUGGGUUAAAGAAGCUUUGGUUGAAGAGAUUUCUUUGGUUGAAGCAAGACAGAACAAUUGAAGAAGAUAUUAAAGAUAUGAGGAAGACAGAGAAAAGUGAAGAAGAUGUGGGUUGACAGUACGUACAAUGUUGUCUAAAUUUCAUUACAUGGCUUUGUUGUAAACUUUGGUAGCUGUCAAUGGUUGUGGACAAUUC